RNAcentral lists this ribosomal RNA (450 nucleotides) under uncultured organism. RNAcentral describes it as "partial 16S ribosomal RNA". It matches the Rfam family "Bacterial small subunit ribosomal RNA", at positions 332 to 799 of the family's 1533-position model. The record is from RNAcentral.
UACACUCCUACGGGAGGCAGCAGUGGGGAUAUUGGACAAUGGGCGCAAGCCUGAUCCAGCCAUGCCGCGUGAGUGAUGAAGGCCCUAGGGUUGUAAAGCUCUUUCACCGGAGAAGAUAAUGACGGUAUCCGGAGAAGAAGCCCCGGCUAACUUCGUGCCAGCAGCCGCGGUAAUACGAAGGGGGCUAGCGUUGUUCGGAAUUACUGGGCGUAAAGCGCACGUAGGCGGAUCGAUCAGUCAGGGGUGAAAUCCCAGGGCUCAACCCUGGAACUGCCUUUGAUACUGUCGAUCUGGAGUAUGGAAGAGGUGAGUGGAAUUCCGAGUGUAGAGGUGAAAUUCGUAGAUAUUCGGAGGAACACCAGUGGCGAAGGCGGCUCACUGGUCCAUUACUGACGCUGAGGUGCGAAAGCGUGGGGAGCAAACAGGAUUAGAAACCCCAGUAGUCCCAUG